This 395-nucleotide ribosomal RNA is filed under the name uncultured bacterium. Its description in RNAcentral is "partial 16S ribosomal RNA". It matches the Rfam family "Bacterial small subunit ribosomal RNA", at positions 523 to 918 of the family's 1533-position model. The record is from RNAcentral.
AUACGUAGGGUGCAAGCGUUAAUCGGAAUUACUGGGCGUAAAGCGUGCGCAGGCGGUUUUGUAAGACAGUGGUGAAAUCCCCGGGCUCAACCUGGGAACUGCCAUUGUGACUGCAAGGCUGGAGUGCGGCAGAGGGGGGUGGAAUUCCGCGUGUAGCAGUGAAAUGCGUAGAUAUGCGGAGGAACACCGAUGGCGAAGGCAAUCCCCUGGGCCUGCACUGACGCUCAUGCACGAAAGCGUGGGGAGCAAACAGGAUUAGAUACCCUGGUAGUCCACGCCCUAAACGAUGUCAACUGGUUGUUGGGGAUUUAUUUUCUCAGUAACGAAGCUAACGCGUGAAGUUGACCGCCUGGGGAGUACGGCCGCAAGGUUAAAACUCAAAGGAAUUGACGGGG